UACAGAGGGGGCAAGCGUUAUUCGGAAUUAUUGGGCGUAAAGGGCGCGUAGGCGGCUUUGCAAGUGACGGGUGAAAGCCCUCGGCUUAACCGAGGAACUGCCUGUCAGACUGUAAGGCUUGAGACCGGGAGAGGUGAGUGGAAUUCCCAGUGUAGCGGUGAAAUGCGUAGAUAUCAGGAAGAACACCAAUGGCGAAGGCAGCUCCCUGGGACGGUACUGACGCUGAGACGCGAAAGCGUGGGGAGCGAACAGG
This 253-nucleotide ribosomal RNA is filed under the name uncultured bacterium. Its description in RNAcentral is "partial 16S ribosomal RNA". It matches the Rfam family "Bacterial small subunit ribosomal RNA", at positions 524 to 776 of the family's 1533-position model. The record is from RNAcentral.